RNAcentral lists this unclassified non-coding RNA (1910 nucleotides) under Daphnia pulicaria. RNAcentral's name for it is "uncharacterized LOC124351026, transcript variant X7". The record is from RNAcentral. Lineage: Eukaryota; Metazoa; Arthropoda; Branchiopoda; Diplostraca; Daphniidae.
CUGACUCUGCUCGCGUGGCUCUUGUAGUUGUAGUCUUGUUUAAAUGUUUAUGCUUAACUUGCUGAAAAUUCAAAGAGGAAAGUGAAAACCACGAAAUUCAUUCUAGUUUCUUGAUAAGUACAAAAUAAUUAACUAAUAAAUGACAAGCAAAAGUCAUCUCGCACGUAUCGAAUCAGUGAUUGGCAUCACUCGCAUGGGCAUUUGGUGUGGAAUAUUCCACAAAAUUGAAUUAGUCUUAAACAGAACGAUGCAAUAUUUUUUGGUGUUGAAAGUCAUUUCAUCAACUACGGCGGAGGCCAACGGAAGAUUCCACAGCUGUGCAUCGAUUGUGAGAAAAUAGGCGGGUUGAGGGUGAGAAAAUCCAUUGGAGCCGGCUGUAAUCCUACCAGUGUCAAGCUGCAUGGCUCGCCGAUCCUUUCACCGGUUAUCGACGCGCCUUGUUGUGUUAGUAACUCUGAUCUAAAUUUUCCUUUCUCUUCCUUUGACGCCUUCGCUUUUAUUAGACGUGACAACCUUCGUCGACAUGCAAGUGGCCGGGCGUGUCCUAAACUCCUAUUAACUUGCCCGUCAAAAGAACUGAUUUAGCCUACUGACAACACUGACCAAAUCAGCAUCGCUUCCAUUAUUCUGAUCAAGGAGGCCCAACUUACCAAGCAACGACCGUCCAGAACGGGCAUGUCGAAUAAUCCUUCAACAAGCCACAACUUUGCCGUCAUUUUAAAAGCGGAAAUGGCCAUUCGAUCGCUUCCAUCCAGCGGCAAGGGUAGACUUCCAAUCCUCUUUCGAUGUCAUUCAGCGAUUGGUCCAGCAGGAGGCGCCUCUGGAUGACUUCCCGGGUGGACGCCAAAUCCCGUCCGUUUAUCUUCUCCAGGACGGCGAAGAUUUUCUGGUAAUUCUCCUGGCCCAUUUGCCAGAAGAGCUCGUCGAAGGAGAAAUCGUCCUCGUCCUGCUGCUCGUUGGAAGCGUAGAGAACGGAAUUGUCGAAUUUGCUGUAGGCGAUUCCGCCGGCCGACGUCACGGGAAAUUUGGCGGAUGCGCAGGCCUCAACCACUGGCGGAUGGGCCAUGUCGGCGAAUGUCACCAGCAGGCGGAUGUUAUCCUUGACGUCUCUGCCAAACAGCGAGAGAACCGAGUCGAGGAUGUAGGGAUGCAUCGACGUCGACCGGAUGUCGUUGAAUGCGGCCACGAAGUAGACGGCGUGAAUUUGAUCGACUCCGAACUGUUACUGGAAAACUGAAACUUAACUCAACUGAAGACUUAUUGGCACUUCGCCGCCCGUAAAUAUAUAAGGGGACUGGACCUUUCUGCCCACAUGCCGCCCACUUUCUUUCAUCUAUUAUAUAUUCAACUCGUGCGGACUCAUCCUUUAUUUUAUAACUGGGCGUACUAUGUGUGCGGGCUUUGAGCGACGUUUGACUGAAAUCAUACGGUGGUUCAGAGCGAAUUGAAUACGAGGCCGCGCUGUCCGAGACCAAGUCGGCGAUGGUAAACUGUUGGCAGCCAUCCGGAUGGCGCGCUGCGAAUGUGAUCUAUGAUCCCCCACCAUAUAGAACUUCUCCGUCGUCCAUCCAGCGCCCAAUGCCACCACGUCCGCAAUCGUGUAGACUGCUGUAGAGAGUAAUUGUAUGCGCAUCUUGUAUUGAAUUCGAAAAGCGUUUGAUUGUAACAUCUUUUUUUCUGAAAUGUUGAUGUUUGUGAAAAUUUCCGGUUUUGUUGUUGUUGAGGAUUAUUUGACUCAUCACUCUAUCAAGUAUCAACUCGGCUUUUUUCCCCAUCAUCGGCGACCGUAAAAAUCGGCCAACGGCAGAUAUCCCGCGGAGCCGAUCCGCACAUAUCUGAUAAAACAGCAGAAAAAAUCCAAUAAAACAAAAAAACAAAAACAGUGUGUGUGUGUGUGUGUGUGUGUGUGU